Molecule: signal recognition particle RNA, 198 nt
Filed under: Pygoscelis adeliae (Adelie penguin)
Lineage: Eukaryota; Metazoa; Chordata; Aves; Sphenisciformes; Spheniscidae
Description: Metazoan signal recognition particle RNA
Rfam family: Metazoan signal recognition particle RNA
About the family: The signal recognition particle (SRP) is a universally conserved ribonucleoprotein. It is involved in the co-translational targeting of proteins to membranes. The eukaryotic SRP consists of a 300-nucleotide 7S RNA and six proteins: SRPs 72, 68, 54, 19, 14, and 9.
Source: Rfam by way of RNAcentral
GUGUUCUGGGCUGCAGUGCGCUAUGCCGAGCGGGCGUCCGCGCUAAGGCCGGCAUCGAUAUGGUGGUCCUCGGGGAGCCGCGGGCCACCAGGUCGCUUAAGGAGGGGUGAACCGGCCCAGGUCGGAGACGGAGCAGGUCAAAGCUCCCGUGCCGGUCAGUAGCGGGAUGGCGCCUGUGAACAGUCCCUGUAGCACAGC